RNAcentral lists this ribosomal RNA (784 nucleotides) under uncultured bacterium. RNAcentral describes it as "bacterial SSU rRNA". It matches the Rfam family "Bacterial small subunit ribosomal RNA", at positions 8 to 836 of the family's 1533-position model. The record is from RNAcentral.
AGAGUUUGAUCCUGGCUCAGAGCGAACGCUGGCGGCAGGCCUAACACAUGCAAGUCGAGCGCCCGUAGCAAUACGGGAGCGGCAGACGGGAUAGUAACACGUGGGAACGUACCUUUCAGUUCGGAACAACCCAGGGAAACUUGGGCUAAUACCGAAUACGCCCGUAAGGGGAAAGAUUUAUCGCUGAAAGAUCGGCCCGCGUCUGAUUAGCUAGUUGGUGAGGUAAUGGCUCACCAAGGCGACGAUCAGUAGCUGGUCUGAGAGGAUGAUCAGCAUCACUGGGACUGAGACACGGCCCAGACUCCUACGGGAGGCAGCAGUGGGGAAUAUUGGACAAUGGGCGCAAGCCUGAUCCAGCCAUGCCGCGUGGAUGAUGAAGGCCCUAGGGUUGUAAAGUCCUUUCGGCGGGGAAGAUAAUGACGGUACCCGCAGAAGAAGCCCCGGCUAACUUCGUGCCAGCAGCCGCGGUAAUACGAAGGGGGCUAGCGUUGCUCGGAAUCACUGGGCGUAAAGCGCACGUAGGCGGACUCUUAAGUCGGUGGUGAAAUCCUGGAGCUCAACUCCAGAACUGCCUUCGAUACUGGGAGUCUUGAGUCCGGGAGAGGUGAGUGGAACUGCGAGUGUAGAGGUGAAAUUCGUAGAUAUUCGCAAGAACACCAGUGGCGAAGGCGGCUCACUGGCCCGGUACUGACGCUGAGGUGCGAAAGCGUNNNGAGCAAACAGGAUUAGAUACCCUGGUAGUCCACGCCGUAAACGAUGGAUGCUAGCCGUUGGACAGCUUGCU